This is a long non-coding RNA of Myotis brandtii (Brandt's bat), 1172 nucleotides long. RefSeq lists it as uncharacterized. Lineage: Eukaryota; Metazoa; Chordata; Mammalia; Chiroptera; Vespertilionidae. The transcript has 2 exons. The record is from RefSeq and is a predicted model, not a curated record.
UAAAGAAAAAAAUCUGGCAAUGAAGUUAACACUUUAAUUAUAAAAAACAUUUCAGAAAUUUACUCUAAAACAGAUCAGACUUGAUAAAUCCAACCCCAUCAAUCCAUUACCCACUGGAGACCUUCCAGUGCUGGGCCCCUACUGGCCCCUUCUGUCAAAAUUCACAUUCUAAACCCCGCAACCUUAACAUCAGGGCAGGCAAAAGAGGUUCUAAAUCCUUCAGCAGCCCAUCACUUUCAUCUUAACUUGUAUCAAGUUUUGGAAUGGAAUGGGGGAAUAGGAAUUAUGAUCUAAUUCAUUCCUUUUGAAAGGAUGCCAGCCUAGUUAGUGGCAGUUAAUUAGCACUGUCAAUUUCAGAGAACAUAGGCAUUUUUGUUGUUGUUGAGAACAUAGGUAUUUUUAAUGAAAUGUACUUUGCUAUUGAAUUACCUCACACAAUUACCUCUUAAAAUUAUCUAGCAUUCCUUUAAAUUAAAGUUUCAGAGAAUGGACAGCUCUGCCGCUUUCCUACCAAAAAGUAACAACUGCCAUGGCCUGAAGUAUUCCCUUUUCUAUGAGAAGGAGUAUUUCAGGUCCAAGUAACUGGUUUAUAAGUGAAUUUUAUUCUAAGAACUUACACUUGUUAUAUGUCUGAAUUUUUACUAUCAUUUUUCCAAAGUUAAAAAAAUAUCAUCAAAACAUGUACAUACACAUAAACAUGAUUAGGCAAGUGUAACUGUAGGAAGCCAUGACCAGGUGGCCCAUCUUUAUAUAGGAAUAAUGUGGGUUAUGCUUUUAAGUAACGUGAUUUAGAUGCAUGACUAUUUGGCUGUUAAAGAAACUGGUAGUAUGGGAAAUGGAGUGUGCGUGUGAUGGUGGAAACAUGAGCAUGGAAGUAGGGAAGAGGAAAGUGUGGCAUCCAUAAAUAAUAAAACCUCCAAAAAGGUACUCAAAUGUUUUAAGUAUUUUUAAUUUUUAGGUAUGUUAUAUACUUGCAUAUUUUUUAAGGGUACCUCAAAAAUGUCCCUUUUAAUAACAAAUCAUCACUUUUCUCAUAUGCAUGACCUUAAAUAUAAAAAUCUCAAGAGCUGGCAAACCUUUUCUGAAUUCUAACAUUCAAAUGACCGCUACUAUGUAAAACCAACCCUGUUUGGUGUGGGUGGCAAUAGAUGUUUCUCGCUCACCCUCUCCCU